UAUAGUCUAAAUUCAUAGCAUGGUUUUCUUUCCUCCCCAUUCUUUUCUUCCAACCAGACGGACCCUUAAGGGCUAAGGCUGAGCUUUCCGGUGCCGGAGGUGUGGAACUAUGGACCAAAACUCUGGAAAUCGGAAUCACAAACUGCGGUUUCAACUGUUAAGAUAAUAAGUUGUUGGGCUUUAUAUUAUUGGGCUCAUUAGGUUUAUAGUCCACUAGGUUUUGCUAUAUAAUCUCUUGUAACUCUAUUUUAUUUAGCUAAUGCAAUUGUGAUGUUUCUAACCCUAGCCUCCAUUGUUCAC
This 300-nucleotide long non-coding RNA is filed under the name Trifolium pratense (red clover). Its description in RNAcentral is "long non-coding RNA (TPRA_LNC014069)". The record is from RNAcentral. Lineage: Eukaryota; Viridiplantae; Streptophyta; Magnoliopsida; Fabales; Fabaceae.